UACGUAGGGGGCAAGCGUUGUCCGGAAUCAUUGGGCGUAAAGCGCGUGUAGGCGGCCCAGUAAGUCCGCUCUGAAAGUCCGGGGCUCAACCCCGGGAGGCGGGUGGAUACUGCUGGGCUCGAGUCCGGAAGAGGCGAGUGGAAUUCCUGGUGUAGCGGUGAAAUGCGCAGAUAUCAGGAGGAACACCUAUGGCGAAGGCAGCUCGCUGGGACGGUACUGACGCUGAGACGCGAAAGCGUGGGGAGCAAACAGG
Molecule: ribosomal RNA, 253 nt
Filed under: uncultured bacterium
Lineage: Bacteria
Description: partial 16S ribosomal RNA
Rfam family: Bacterial small subunit ribosomal RNA
Source: RNAcentral